RNAcentral lists this ribosomal RNA (468 nucleotides) under uncultured bacterium. RNAcentral's name for it is "partial 16S ribosomal RNA". It matches the Rfam family "Bacterial small subunit ribosomal RNA", at positions 28 to 507 of the family's 1533-position model. The record is from RNAcentral.
GACGAACGCUGGCGGCGUGCUUAACACAUGCAAGUCGAACGGAAAGGCCCUGCCUUUUUGGGGUGCUCGGGUGGCGAACGGGGGAGUAACACGUGAGUAACCUGCCCCUGACUUUGGGAUAACUUCAGGAAACUUGGGCUAAUACCGGAUAGGAGCUCCCGCCGCAUGGUGGGGGGUGGAAAGUUUCGGCGGUAGGGGAUGGACACGCGGCUUAUCAGCUUGUUGGUGGGGUAGUGGCUUACCAAGGCUUUGACGGGUAGCCGGCCUGAGAGGGUGACCGGCCACAUUGGGACUGAGAUACGGCCCAGACUCCUACGGGAGGCAGCAGUGGGGAAUAUUGCACAAUGGGCGGAAGCCUGAUGCAGCAACGCCGCGUGCGGGAUGACGGCCUUCGGGUUGUAAACCGCUUUCGCCUGUGACGAAGCGUGAGUGACGGUAAUGGGUAAAGAAGCACCGGCUAACUACGUG